RNAcentral lists this ribosomal RNA (465 nucleotides) under uncultured Streptococcus sp. RNAcentral's name for it is "bacterial SSU rRNA". It matches the Rfam family "Bacterial small subunit ribosomal RNA", at positions 338 to 795 of the family's 1533-position model. The record is from RNAcentral. Lineage: Bacteria; Bacillati; Bacillota; Bacilli; Lactobacillales; Streptococcaceae.
CCUACGGGAGGCAGCAGUAGGGAAUCUUCGGCAAUGGGGGGAACCCUGACCGAGCAACGCCGCGUGAGUGAAGAAGGUUUUCGGAUCGUAAAGCUCUGUUGUAAGAGAAGAACGUGUGUGAGAGUGGAAAGUUCACACAGUGACGGUAACUUACCAGAAAGGGACGGCUAACUACGUGCCAGCAGCCGCGGUAAUACGUAGGUCCCGAGCGUUGUCCGGAUUUAUUGGGCGUAAAGCGAGCGCAGGCGGUUUGAUAAGUCUGAAGUAAAAGGCUGUGGCUUAACCAUAGUAUGCUUUGGAAACUGUCAAACUUGAGUGCAGAAGGGGAGAGUGGAAUUCCAUGUGUAGCGGUGAAAUGCGUAGAUAUAUGGAGGAACACCGGUGGCGAAAGCGGCUCUCUGGUCUGUAACUGACGCUGAGGCUCGAAAGCGUGGGGAGCAAACAGGAUUAGAUACCCGUGUAGUC